UACGGGGGGCCAAGCGUUGUUCGGAAUUACUGGGCGUAAAGGGCUCGUAGGCGGCCAACUAAGUCAGACGUGAAAUCCCCAGGCUCAACCUGGGAACUGCGUCUGAUACUGGAUGGCUUGAAUCCGGGAGAGGGAUGCAGAAUUCCAGGUGUAGCGGUGAAAUGCGUAGAUAUCUGGAGGAAUACCGGUGGCGAAGGCGGCAUCCUGGACCGGCAUUGACGCUGAGGAGCGAAAGCUAGGGGAGCAAACGGG
Molecule: ribosomal RNA, 252 nt
Filed under: uncultured bacterium
Lineage: Bacteria
Description: partial 16S ribosomal RNA
Rfam family: Bacterial small subunit ribosomal RNA
Source: RNAcentral